AGCAGCCGCGGUAAUUCCAGCUCCAAUAGCGUAUACUAAAGUUGUUGCAGUUAAAAAGCUCGUAGUUGAAUUUCGGGAUCAAUAUGUUGGUCGUGCCUUGGUACGUACUGGCAUUAUCGAUUCCUACCUUCUGAAGAACCUCGAUGUCAUUAAUUUGGUGUCUUGGGGAAUCAGGACUGUUACUUUGAAAAAAUUAGAGUGUUUAAAGCAGGCUCGCGCUUGAAUACAUUAGCAUGGAAUAAUGAAAUAGGACGUUUGAUUCUAUUUUGUUGGUUUCUAGGAUCGACGUAAUGAUUAAUAGGGAUAGUUGGGGGCAUUAGUAUUCAAUUGUCAGAGGUGAAAUUCUUGGAUUUAUUGAAGACUAACUACUGCGAAAGCAUUUGCCAAGGAUGUUUUCAUUAAUCAAGAACGAAAGUUAGGGGAUCGAAGACGAUCAGAUACCGUCGUAGUCUUAACCAUAAACUAUGCCGACUAGGGAUCGGAUGAUGUAAUUUUUAAUGA
This 501-nucleotide ribosomal RNA is filed under the name uncultured Glomus. RNAcentral's name for it is "SSU rRNA". It matches the Rfam family "Eukaryotic small subunit ribosomal RNA", at positions 569 to 1075 of the family's 1831-position model. Lineage: Eukaryota; Fungi; Glomeromycota; Glomeromycetes; Glomerales; Glomeraceae. The record is from RNAcentral.